Molecule: non-coding RNA, 960 nt
Filed under: Potos flavus (kinkajou)
Lineage: Eukaryota; Metazoa; Chordata; Mammalia; Carnivora; Procyonidae
Description: 12S ribosomal RNA
Rfam family: Bacterial small subunit ribosomal RNA
Source: RNAcentral
CAAAGGUUUGGUCCUAGCCUUCUUAUUAAUUCAUAACAAAAUUACACAUGCAAGUCUCCACCCCCCAGUGAAAAUGCCCUCCAAAUCAAAGAUUGAUCAAAAGGAGCAGAUAUCAAGCACGCUUACACAAGCAGCUCAUAACAUCUUGCUCAGCCACACCCCCACGGGAUACAGCAGUGAUAGAACUUAAGCUAUGAACGAAAGUUCGACUAAGUUAUGUUAAUAAAGGGUUGGUAAAUUUCGUGCCAGCCACCGCGGUCAUACGAUUAACCCAAAUUAAUAAGCCCACGGCGUAAAACGUGUUAAAGAACAUAGCUCACUAAAGUUAAAACCUAGCCGGGCUGUAAAAAGCUACUGCUAGCAUAAAACAUGCCACGAAAGUGACUUUACUAUCUCCGACUACACGACAGCUAAGACCCAAACUGGGAUUAGAUACCCCACUAUGCUUAGCCCUAAACAUAGAUAAUUAAAUCAACAAAAUUAUUUGCCAGAGAACUACUAGCAAUAGCUUAAAACUCAAAGGACUUGGCGGUGCUUUAUACCCCUCUAGAGGAGCCUGUUCUAUAAUCGAUAAACCCCGAUAAACCUCACCACUUCUUGCCAAAUCAGUCUAUAUACCGCCAUCCUCAGCAAACCCUUUAAAGGGAGAAAAGUAAGCACAAUAAUUAGCGCGUAAAAAAGUUAGGUCAAGGUGUAACCUAUGGAGUGGGAAGAAAUGGGCUACAUUUUCUGAACAAGAACAUCACACACGAAGGCCUCCAUGAAAUUGGAAGCCAAAGGUGGAUUUAGUAGUAAAUCGAGAAUAGAGAGCUCGAUUGAAUAGGGCCAUGAAGCACGCACACACCGCCCGUCACCCUCCUCAAGCAACGUAAGCUGAACAUAACAUAUAAUGAAACAAAUCAAUGCAAGAGGAGACAAGUCGUAACAAGGUAAGCGUACUGGAAAGUGCGCUUGGAUAAC